Molecule: transfer RNA, 69 nt
Filed under: Cavia porcellus (domestic guinea pig)
Lineage: Eukaryota; Metazoa; Chordata; Mammalia; Rodentia; Caviidae
Rfam family: tRNA
About the family: Transfer RNA (tRNA) molecules are approximately 80 nucleotides in length. Their secondary structure includes four short double-helical elements and three loops (D, anti-codon, and T loops).
Source: Rfam by way of RNAcentral
GGAGAUGUAGCUCAGUGGUAGAGCUCUAGACUAGCAUGUUCAAGGGCCUGGGUUUGAUCCCCAGCACCA